MicroRNA precursor from Oryza sativa Indica Group (long-grained rice), 206 nucleotides. It matches the Rfam family "MIR812 microRNA precursor family". The record is from Rfam. Lineage: Eukaryota; Viridiplantae; Streptophyta; Magnoliopsida; Poales; Poaceae.
UUUAAUUGUAAUCAUAAGUUUCUGCGCUCAACUUUAAUCGUUCAUCUUAUUUGAAAUUUUUUUUAUAAUUAUUAUUUUUGUUGUUAUGAGAUGAUAAAACAUGAAUAGUACUUUACUCGUCACUUAUGUUUUUAAAUUUUUUUCAAAAUUUUUUCAAAUAAGAGGAUGGUCAAAGUUGGGCGCGAAAAACUAUGGCUACACUUAAA